ACUAAAAGUAAGAACUCACGGAGUUCCCUUAGAACUGAAGUUUCCCAUCCGCAUUUGAACUCACCAUUGCUCUCUACCUGUGUGCAGUAAUCCCCGGAUCCUGGACCGAAGACAGAUAAACUCCAACUGACUAUCUUGUUUUUGUCAGAGCUGUAAAUAAACCUUUAACUAAACCCAUUCUCCUCUGAGUGUUUCUGCAUGUGGGUCAAGAGUCUCAAACCCAUCAUGACAGAACACUCUGGCCNAAUGUUGGGGACCAGGCUGGGUUAGUGUUUUUCCAGGUCUAUCCACCAGAGGGCACCUUGUGGCUGUUUUUUCCCAGAGGUUGGACCAACAGGUCUUGGUUGACACACCUGCAAGAAAUGAUCAUCACCGUGAGGAGUAUAUGAGCAGCAGGCGGCCAGUUCCUCCUCGCCAGAGUGUUUGCCAGCAGUGGUUGUUGCAUCGGAACCGUUCGAGUUACCGGAGUCUUGGAAGAAUCCUCUCGUGCCGCUGCUGCACCGUUUCCUCUCGGUCUUGUGAGUUAGACCACCCUGUCCGCCCUCCAGCCCUGUGAACCACCUGAGCAGCCCACAACCUGGAAAUUGCCUUGCCUACCUGGCUCCGCUUGCCUCUCCCCACUCGCUCUCCAGCCACUACAAGUAAGAACUCACGGAGUUCCCUUAGAACUGAAGUUUCCCAUCCGCAUUUGAACUCACCAUUGCUCUCUACCUGUGUGCAGUAAUUCCCGGAUCCUGGACCGAAGAAAGAAUAAACUCCAACUAUCUUUUUUCUUUUGUCAGAGCUGUAAAUAAACCUUUUGACUAAA
Poecilia latipinna (sailfin molly) is the source of this 808-nucleotide long non-coding RNA. RefSeq lists it as uncharacterized. The transcript is spliced from 2 exons. The record is from RefSeq and is a predicted model, not a curated record. NCBI's taxonomy places the organism in Eukaryota, Metazoa, Chordata, Actinopteri, Cyprinodontiformes, Poeciliidae.